GACGAACGCUGGCGGCGUGCUUAACACAUGCAAGUCGAACGGAAAGGCCCUGCUUUUGUGGGGUGCUCGAGUGGCGAACGGGUGAGUAACACGUGAGUCACCUUCCCUUGACUUUGGGAUAACUUCAGGAAACUGGGGCUAAUACCUGAUAGGAGCUCCUGCUGCAUGGUGGGGGUUGGAAAGUUUCGGCGGUUGGGGAUGGACUCGCGGCUUAUCAGCUUGUUGGUGGGGUAGUGGCUUACCAAGGCUUUGACGGGUAGCCGGCCUGAGAGGGUGACCGGCCACAUUGGGACUGAGAUACGGCCCAGACUCCUACGGGAGGCAGCAGUGGGGAAUAUUGCACAAUGGGCGGAAGCCUGAUGCAGCAACGCCGCGUGCGGGAUGACGGCCUUCGGGUUGUAAACCGCUUUCGCCUGUGACGAAGCGUGAGUGACGGUAAUGGGUAAAGAAGCACCGGCUAACUACGUG
Molecule: ribosomal RNA, 468 nt
Filed under: uncultured bacterium
Lineage: Bacteria
Description: partial 16S ribosomal RNA
Rfam family: Bacterial small subunit ribosomal RNA
Source: RNAcentral